RNAcentral lists this ribosomal RNA (253 nucleotides) under uncultured bacterium. RNAcentral describes it as "partial 16S ribosomal RNA". It matches the Rfam family "Bacterial small subunit ribosomal RNA", at positions 524 to 776 of the family's 1533-position model. The record is from RNAcentral.
UCCGAAGGGAGCUAGCGUUGUUCGGAAUCACUGGGCGUAAAGCGCACGUAGGCGGAUGUGUCAGUCAGGGGUGAAAUCCCGGAGCUCAACUUCGGAACUGCCUUUGAUACAGCACGUCUUGAGUCCGAUAGAGGUGGGUGGAAUUCCUAGUGUAGAGGUGAAAUUCGUAGAUAUUAGGAAGAACACCGGUGGCGAAGGCGGCCCACUGGAUCGGUACUGACGCUGAGGUGCGAAAGCGUGGGGAGCAAACAGG